AUUGACCGCUGGCGGCAGGCUUAACACAUGCAAGUCGCGCGAGCGGCAGACGUGUGAGUAAUGUGUGGGACACUGCCUGAUGGCGGGGGAUAACUACUGGAAACGGUCGCUAAUCCCGCAUACCAUCAGAUGUGCCCAGAUGGGAUUAGCUAGUAGGUGGGGUAAUGGCUCACCUAGGCGACGAUCCCUAGCUGGUAUGAGAGGAUGACCAGCAACACUGGAACUGAUACACGGUCCAGACUCCUACGGGAGGCAGCAGUGGGGAAUAUUGCACAAUGGGCGCAAGCCUGAUGCAGCCAUGCCGCGUGUGUGAAGAAGGCCUUCGGGUUGUAAAGCACUGUCAGCGAGGAGGCGUUACUCGCAGAAGAAGCACCGGCUAACGCCGUGCCAGCAGCCGCGGUAAUAC
This 406-nucleotide ribosomal RNA is filed under the name uncultured bacterium. Its description in RNAcentral is "partial 16S ribosomal RNA". It matches the Rfam family "Bacterial small subunit ribosomal RNA", at positions 30 to 526 of the family's 1533-position model. The record is from RNAcentral.